UACGGAGGGUGCGAGCGUUAUUCGGAAUUACUGGGCGUAAAGCGUACGUAGGUGGCGACGCAAGUCGGGCGUGAAAGCCCCGGGCCCAACCUGGGAAUUGUAUUCGAGACUGCAUUGCUGGAGUACGGAAGAGGAAGACGGAAUUCCCGGUGUAGCGGUGAAAUGCGUAGAUAUCAGGAGGAACACCGAUGGCGAAGGCAGUGCUCUGGGCCGUAACUGACGCUGAGGAGCGAAAGCGUGGGGAGCGAACAGG
RNAcentral lists this ribosomal RNA (253 nucleotides) under uncultured bacterium. Its description in RNAcentral is "partial 16S ribosomal RNA". It matches the Rfam family "Bacterial small subunit ribosomal RNA", at positions 524 to 776 of the family's 1533-position model. The record is from RNAcentral.